This is a regulatory RNA element of Clostridium puniceum, 110 nucleotides long. It matches the Rfam family "TPP riboswitch aptamer (THI element)". Rfam says of the family: Vitamin B(1) in its active form thiamin pyrophosphate (TPP) is an essential coenzyme that is synthesised by coupling of pyrimidine and thiazole moieties in bacteria. The previously detected thiamin-regulatory element, thi box was extended, resulting in a new, highly conserved RNA secondary structure, the THI element, which is widely distributed in eubacteria and also occurs in some archaea. Analysis of operon structures identified a large number of new candidate thiamin-regulated genes, mostly transporters, in various prokaryotic organisms. The record is from Rfam. NCBI's taxonomy places the organism in Bacteria, Bacillati, Bacillota, Clostridia, Eubacteriales, Clostridiaceae.
UAAAAAGGCUAGGGGUGCCAAUUUAAAUUGGCUGAGAGAAGCUAUACUUGCUUUAACUCUUUUAACCUGAUGUGGCUAAUACCACCGUAGGGAAGCAAUAAGUAAAUUUA